UGAAUACGAGAUGCUACGGCGUCGAAGCAGUCUAUGUCAUACUUCCAAGAAAAGCUCGCACUGUCAUAAACAAAUAAUGCCUGUACCAUAACCGACACAGGUGGGUAGGUAGAGUAUACUAAGGGGCGCGAGAUAACUCUCUCUAAGGAACUCGGCAAAAUGACUCCGUAACUUCGGGAGAAGGAGUGCCUUAUUUAUAAGGUUGCAAUAACAAGAUCCAAGCAACUGUUUAUCAAAAACACAGGUCUCCGCUAAGUCGUAAGACGAUGUAUGGGGGCUGACGCCUGCCCAGUGCCAGAAGGUUAAAGAAGUUGGUUUGCAUUCGCGAAGCUGAUAACUGAAGCCCUGGUGAACGGCGGCCGUAACUAUAACGGUCCUAAGGUAGCGAAAUUCCUUGUCGGGUAAGUUCCGACCCGCACGAAAGGCGUAAUGAUUUGGAUACUGUCUCGGAGAGGGGCUCGGUGAAAUAGACUUGUCUGUGAAGAUGCGGACUACCUGCACCAGGACAGAAAGACCCUAUGAAGCUUUACUGUAACUUGAGAUUGAAAUUGGACUUUACUUGCGCAGUAUAGGUGGGAGGCGUUGAUAAUAUUCUUGCGGGAUUAUUUGAGCCAUCAGUGAGAUACCACUCUUGUAAUGUUAGAUUUCUAACUUUGUAUCAUUAUCUGGUCAAAGGACAGUUUCAGGCGGGCAGUUUGACUGGGGCGGUCGCCUCCUAAACGGUAACGGAGGCGCACAAAGGUUUCCUCUGAACGGGUAGAAAUCGUAUCUAGAGUGUAAAGGCAUAAGGAAGCUUGACUGUGAGACCUACAAGUCGAGCAGGGACGAAAGUCGGUCUUAGUGAUCUGACGGUGCUGAGUGGAAAGGCCGUCACUCAACGGAUAAAAGUUACUCUAGGAUAACAGGCUGAUCUCCCCCAAGAGUUCACAUCGACGGGGAGGUUUGGCACCUCGAUGUCGGCUCAUCGCAUCCUGGGGCGGUAGUACGUCCCAAGGGUUGGGCUGUUCGCCCAUGAAAGCGGUACGCGAGCUGGUUCAGAACGUCGUGAGACAGUUCGGUCCAUAUCCGGUGUAGGCGUUAGAAUAUUGAGAGGAGCCUUCUUUAGUACGAGAGGACCGAGAAGGACAUACCUCUGGUGUACCAGUUAUCGUGCCAACGGUAAACGCUGGGUAGCUAUGUAUGGAGUGGAUAACCGCUGAAAGCAUCUAAGUGGGAAGCCCACCUCAAGAUAAGUAUUCUCAUC
Molecule: ribosomal RNA, 1243 nt
Filed under: metagenome
Description: bacterial LSU rRNA
Rfam family: Bacterial large subunit ribosomal RNA
Source: RNAcentral